Non-coding RNA from Heterocephalus glaber (naked mole-rat), 2188 nucleotides. The record is from RefSeq and is a predicted model, not a curated record. Lineage: Eukaryota; Metazoa; Chordata; Mammalia; Rodentia; Bathyergidae.
UGCUUCUGCUGGAGUUUCACAAAGCCGGGGCCUCACCCAGGAGAUGAGGACAGGUGACUGGUGGCGUGAGGGGACCUCACCUUCCUGCAGCAGAUGCCCCAGGGCCUUCUGGGCAGGAUGAGGUUUCUGUGCCAGGCCCAGCCACAGCACCAGCCACAAACGGUGCUCAGUCACCUGGGGUUCAGGUCAGGAGUCAGCCGAGCUUCGUGGCAGCCCACAGAGAAAGCUACCAACAGCUCCCUGCAGAGUGAGGACUGGGCGCUCAACAUGGAGAUCUGCGACAUCAUCAACGAGACGGAAGAGGGCCCCAAGGAUGCCUUCCGGGCCUUGAGGAAGAGAAUCUCGGGGAACAAGAACUUCCACGAGGUGGCGCUGGCUCUGACGGUCCUGGAGACCUGUGUCAAGAACUGCGGGCACCGCUUCCAUGUGCUGGUGGCCAGCCAGGACUUCGUGGAGGGCGUGCUGGUGCGGGCCAUCCUGCCCAAGAACAACCCACCCACCGUGGUGCACGACAAGGUGCUCGGCCUCGUCCAGUCCUGGGCUGACGCGUUCCGAAGCUCGCCUGACCUGACGGGCGUGGUGGCCGUCUACGAGGACCUGCGGAGGAAGGGCCUUGAAUUCCCCAUGACGGACCUGGACAUGCUGUCACCCAUCCACACGCCCCAGAGGACCGUGUGCGCCUCAGAGACGGCAGCAGGACAGAGCGCUCUGGGUCCCGCAGCCAGACAGCGAGGAGACCUGAGCCAAUGCCCGACUCCCGCGCCCACCCUCGCCACACUGCCCGGUGACACGGCCAUCACGCCCACCCCCGAGCAGAUCGGGAAGCUGCGCCGUGAGCUGGAGCUGGUGACCGGGAAUGUGCGAGUCAUGUCGGAGAUGCUAACGGAGCUGGCACCCACUCAGGCAGAGCCCGCUGACCUGGAACUGCUGCAGGAGCUGCACCGGACGUGCCGCGCCAUGCAGCAGCGGCUACUGGAGCUCAUCCCACACAUCUCCAAUGAGCAGCUGACAGAGGAGCUGCUCAUGGUCAACGACAACCUCAACAACGUGUUCCUGCGCCAUGAGCGGUUUGAACGGUUCCGGACAGGCCAGACCGCCAAGACCCCCAGGGAUGCGGAGCCGGCAGCCGACCCGAUCAGCACAGCUGCUGACGCCACAGCCACCAGCAGCCUGGAGUCCCAGCUGGCUGGAACAUGGGAGGAUGGCAGGCUCACCACCCUGGGGCCCAGCCCGAGCCUUGCAGACCUAGGCUCCAGCAGUGUGCGGGCUGGGCUGCAGUCCCUGGAGCCCUCGGGGCACCCGGAGGAAGAGUUUGACAUGUUUGCACUGACACGGGGCAGCUCACUAGCCGACCAGCGGAAAGAGGUCAAGUACGAAGCCCCCCAGGCAACGGACGGCCUGGCUGGGGCCCUGGAUGCCCGGCAGCAGAGCACGGGAGCAAUCCCCGCCACCCAGGCCCGCCUCAUGGAGGACAUUGAGCAGUGGCUGUCCACGGACGUGGUGAGUCAGGGGCGUCCCUGGCCCACCCGGAGACCGAGGCGCUGUGAGGCCAGGCUGGAGGGGCCGACGCGCAGCAGGAGCCUGGCUGGGCCCUGGCACACAGCGAGCGAGGUGCCUGUGAUUCUCGGGCACAGCACGGCCGCCCACAUCACAGACCAGCAGGCAGGCGGCUGCCUGGGGCUCUCUCCUCCCCUCAGGGAGGGACUGCAGGCCAGGCCUGACCCCCUGCUGUUGCACCUCAGCUGUGCGUCAGGGUGUCAGCUUGCUUCCCCGGCCAUGCUGGGGCAGAAGGCACCCUGGGGCCCGUGCCCAGCACCCUGCUGAGUGACUUCAUCCUCCACAUGGUAAAGGGCCAGCCGAGGCUCGGGCAAGCCAGGGGCCGCAGCUCUGCAAGGGGCUGAGGUCGGGCUGGCUGUGGUCCAGGUGCCUGAGCGCUGCCUCAGCCCUGAGGCCCCCUGGCCCGACCUGUGACCUGACCCGUCCUUCUGUGCCCUAGGGGAACGAUGCAGCGGAGCCCACCGGCGUCACCAGCGAAGAGUUCGACAAGUUUCUGGAAGAGCGGGCCAGAGCUGCUGACCGGCUGCCCAGCCUCUCCAGCCCGUCGGCCACCGCCCCCCCGGGCCCCGCUGAGGGCGCAGCGCCCCGUAGGAAGGCACAGGGGAAGGCGGAGGACACGCUGUUCGCCCUG